GGUUAGACACAGGGGAUUUUGAUGUAAUCCUAGGAAUGGAUUGGCUGGCGGCGUAUCACGCCACCAUAGACUGCUUUAAUAAAAAGAUUGUAUUUAAUCCUCCCAACGAGGAGCCAUUUACAAGUUAAUAAAAUUAUUCGAUACUGAUUCUCCCUAAUGACAAAUUCUUUUCUUCUUAAUUCCCAGUGCGUUGAUAUUGUAUUUUCCC
Molecule: long non-coding RNA, 208 nt
Filed under: Carica papaya (papaya)
Lineage: Eukaryota; Viridiplantae; Streptophyta; Magnoliopsida; Brassicales; Caricaceae
Description: long non-coding RNA (CPAP_LNC015192)
Source: RNAcentral